GUCGAUUCUCACGGUGGAAGCAUGUCCUCACCACCUAAAGCUGCAAGAGCGCUCCGUCUGCGGGAAACACGUGCAGGAACGCCAAACAACGAUCUAUGUAACCGGGUCGCGGAAGCAGACAGGCCCUCUGACGUCAGCGGGGGUCCCGUCUCCGCCUCCCAGACACGAGGUUUCCUUCCUGUUCACAGGGGGGCUCCUGACGGACGAGCCAUUGCUAUUGGAACGAUAGGUCCCUCCAAAUGACACCGAAGAAGGACUCACACCCUUACUCUCUCUCCCCCAUUUCCUACAACCGAUCCCCUCCACCUCUUUUUGCGGGAACGACCUCAAUUAAGACGCGCGUGUCAAGUCGUUGAGCGCAACCCCCCUUCCGGACCCCUGUCCUGCCCUGCUCGGCUCACAGUUCGGGACUGACGGUUUUCCCGGAGGUUCCUUAUUGUCGGGUCACGUUGGACCCCUUUGCAGCUGCAGACCGGGCUUCCCCCGCACAAACCCGCAGCAGGGGCUUAGCGGAGGGACAGCGCACGGGGCGGGGCUCCCAAAAACGUCCCAGGUCCCGAAGGGCGAUUAGUGGAGGGAGAUUUCUCAUUCCACAUUUAUCACAUGCUGAAACACGAGGGUAAAGGGGUCAACAGAAAACAGACCAAGGCACUAAAAUAAGUUUUCGUGCUAAAAAAAACAAAACAAUUUAAGGACAUUAAAAUAC
Oryzias latipes (Japanese medaka) is the source of this 706-nucleotide non-coding RNA. NCBI's taxonomy places the organism in Eukaryota, Metazoa, Chordata, Actinopteri, Beloniformes, Adrianichthyidae. The record is from RefSeq and is a predicted model, not a curated record.